RNAcentral lists this ribosomal RNA (254 nucleotides) under uncultured bacterium. RNAcentral describes it as "partial 16S ribosomal RNA". It matches the Rfam family "Bacterial small subunit ribosomal RNA", at positions 524 to 776 of the family's 1533-position model. The record is from RNAcentral.
UACGUAGGUGGCAAGCGUUGUCCGGAAUUAUUGGGCGUAAAGGGCGCGCAGGCGGUCGCGUGGGCCAUCGCGUGAAAGCCCCCGGCUCAACCGGGCGGUGGCGGGUGGGACCGCGCGGCUGGAGGGUGGUAGGGGCCGGUGGAAUUCCUGGUGUAGCGGUGAAAUGCGCAGAUAUCAGGAGGAACACCGGUGGCGAAGGCGACUUACUGGACUGUAACUGACACUGAGGCAUGAAAGCGUGGGGAGCAAACAGG